Molecule: ribosomal RNA, 279 nt
Filed under: uncultured bacterium
Lineage: Bacteria
Description: partial 16S ribosomal RNA
Rfam family: Bacterial small subunit ribosomal RNA
Source: RNAcentral
UGCCAGCAGCCGCGGUAAUACGAAGGGACCUAGCGUAGUUCGGAAUUACUGGGCUUAAAGAGUUCGUAGGUGGUUGAAAAAGUUAGUGGUGAAAUCCCAGAGCUUAACUCUGGAACUGCCAUUAAAACUUUUCAGCUAGAGUAUGAUAGAGGAAAGCAGAAUUUCUAGUGUGGAGGUGAAAUGCGUAGAUAUUCGGAGGAACACCAAUUGCGAAGGCAGUUCACUGGACCGUGAUCGACGCUGAGGAGCGAAAGCUAGGGGAGCAAACAGGAUUAGAUA